AGAAUCAACGCUGGCGGCGUGCCUAACACAUGCAAGUCGAUCGAGAAGUGGAGCAAUCCAUGAGUAAAGAGGCGCACGGGUGAGUAACACGUGACUAACCUACCCUCGAGUGGGGAAUAACCUGGGAAACCCGGGCUAAUACCGCAUAACACCUACGGGUCAAAGGAGCAAUUCGCUUGAGGAGGGGGUCGCGGCAGAUUAGUUAGUUGGCGGGGUAAUGGCCCACCAAGACGAUGAUCUGUAUCCGGCCUGAGAGGGCGCACGGACACACUGGAACUGAAACACGGUCCAGACUCCUACGGGAGGCAGCAGUGGGGAAUUUUGCGCAAUGGGGGAAACCCUGACGCAGCAAACGCCGCGUGGAGGAUGAAGUCCCUUGGGACGUAAACUCCUUUCGACCGGGACGAUUAUGACGGUACCGGAUGAAGAAGCCCCGGCUAACUUCGUGCCAGCAGCCGC
This 459-nucleotide ribosomal RNA is filed under the name uncultured bacterium. Its description in RNAcentral is "SSU rRNA". It matches the Rfam family "Bacterial small subunit ribosomal RNA", at positions 26 to 518 of the family's 1533-position model. The record is from RNAcentral.